CCUACGGGGGGCAGCAGUGGGGAAUAUUGGGCAAUGGGCGCAAGCCUGACCCAGCAACGCCGCGUGAAGGAAGAAGGCUUUCGGGUUGUAAACUUCUUUUGUCAGGGAAGAGUAGAAGACGGUACCUGACGAAUAAGCUACGGCUAACUACGUGCCAGCAGCCGCGGUAAUACGUAGGUGGCAAGCGUUGUCCGGAUUUACUGGGUGUAAAGGGCGUGUAGCCGGGUUGACAAGUCAGAUGUGAAAUCCUGCGGCUUAACCGCAGAACUGCAUUUGAAACUGUGGAUCUUGAGUACGGGAGAGGCAGACGGAAUGCGUGGUGUAGCGGGGAAAUGCGUAGAUAUUAGGAGGAACACCAGUGGCGAAGGCGGUCUGCUGGACAGCGACUGACGGUGAGGCGCGAAAGCGUGGGGAGCAAACAGGAUUAGAUACCCGGGUAGUC
This 442-nucleotide ribosomal RNA is filed under the name uncultured bacterium. RNAcentral describes it as "partial 16S ribosomal RNA". It matches the Rfam family "Bacterial small subunit ribosomal RNA", at positions 338 to 795 of the family's 1533-position model. The record is from RNAcentral.